RNAcentral lists this transfer RNA (89 nucleotides) under candidate division WWE3 bacterium. RNAcentral describes it as "tRNA-Ser". It matches the Rfam family "tRNA". From Rfam's summary of the family: Transfer RNA (tRNA) molecules are approximately 80 nucleotides in length. Their secondary structure includes four short double-helical elements and three loops (D, anti-codon, and T loops). Lineage: Bacteria; candidate division WWE3. The record is from RNAcentral.
GGAGGAGUGCCUGAGUGGCCUAUAGGAGCGGUUUGCUAAACCGUGACGCAUACCAGCGUCCGCGGGUUCGAAUCCCGCCUCCUCCGCCA